This 2532-nucleotide ribosomal RNA is filed under the name Triticum aestivum (bread wheat). Its description in RNAcentral is "partial small subunit ribosomal RNA". Lineage: Eukaryota; Viridiplantae; Streptophyta; Magnoliopsida; Poales; Poaceae. The record is from RNAcentral.
AUGGUGAAGUUCACAGCGGAGGAGCUCCGUGGAAUUAUGGAUAAAAAGAAUAAUAUUCGUAACAUGUCUGUUAUUGCUCAUGUUGACCAUGGCAAGUCUACGCUUACGGAUUCCCUUGUGGCAGCUGCCGGGAUUAUCGCCCAGGAAGUUGCUGGUGAUGUUCGCAUGACUGAUACCCGUGCAGAUGAGGCAGAACGUGGUAUUACAAUCAAAUCCACGGGUAUCUCUCUGUUCUAUCAGAUGACUCCUGAAUCACUUGAGAUGUACAAGGGUGACAGGGAUGGGGACGAAUACCUGAUCAACCUUAUUGACUCACCUGGUCAUGUUGACUUCUCUUCGGAAGUGACAGCUGCUCUUCGUAUCACUGAUGGUGCUUUGGUGGUGGUUGACUGUAUUGAGGGUGUCUGUGUGCAGACCGAAACUGUGCUGCGCCAAGCUCUUGGUGAGAGGAUUAGGCCUGUCCUCACCGUGAACAAGAUGGACAGAUGCUUCCUUGAGCUUCAAGUGGAAGGUGAGGAAGCAUACCAGACUUUCUCCCGUGUCAUUGAAAAUGCCAAUGUCAUCAUGGCAACAUAUGAAGAUGUGCUCCUUGGUGAUGUCCAAGUGUACCCGGAGAAAGGGACUGUUGCAUUCUCUGCUGGUUUGCAUGGGUGGGCUUUCACCCUUACAAACUUUGCUAAGAUGUAUGCCUCCAAGUUUGGAGUUGAUGAGGCGAAGAUGAUGGAGAGGCUUUGGGGUGAGAAUUUCUUUGACCCAGCCACAAAGAAAUGGACCUCCAAGAACACUGGGACAGCUACUUGCAAGAGAGGUUUCGUUCAGUUCUGCUACGAGCCAAUCAAGCAAAUCAUCGCCACCUGCAUGAAUGAUCAGAAGGAUAAGUUGUGGCCUAUGUUGAAGAAGCUGGGUGUGACCAUGAAGAAUGAUGAGAAGGACUUGAUGGGCAAGGCUCUCAUGAAGCGUGUGAUGCAAACUUGGCUGCCUGCCAGUCGUGCUCUGCUUGAGAUGAUGAUAUUUCACCUCCCCUCUCCUUCGAAGGCACAGAGGUAUCGUGUGGAGAACUUAUAUGAGGGGCCUCUUGAUGAUAUAUAUGCAAAUGCUAUCAGGAACUGUGACCCUGAAGGUCCUCUGAUGUUGUAUGUCUCCAAGAUGAUUCCAGCAUCUGACAAGGGUAGAUUCUUUGCCUUUGGACGUGUUUUUGCUGGGAGGGUUGCAACUGGCAUGAAGGUCCGUAUCAUGGGUCCCAACUUUGUUCCUGGCCAGAAGAAGGAUCUGUAUGUGAAGAGUGUCCAGCGUACUGUUAUCUGGAUGGGAAAGAAGCAAGAGUCUGUUGAGGAUGUUCCCUGUGGUAACACUGUUGCUUUGGUUGGUUUGGAUCAGUUCAUCACCAAGAAUGCAACCCUGACAAAUGAGAAGGAAGUUGAUGCCUGCCCAAUCAGGGCUAUGAAGUUCUCUGUGUCCCCUGUUGUGCGUGUUGCCGUUCAGUGCAAGGUGGCAUCUGAUCUUCCUAAGCUUGUUGAGGGUUUGAAGCGGCUGGCGAAGUCUGACCCUAUGGUUCUCUGUAGCAUUGAAGAGUCUGGUGAGCAUAUCAUUGCUGGAGCUGGUGAGCUUCACCUUGAAAUCUGUUUGAAGGAUCUGCAGGAGGACUUCAUGGGUGGUGCUGAAAUUAUUGUCUCACCUCCUGUUGUCUCCUUCCGUGAGACUGUUCUGGAGAAGUCCUGCCGCACAGUUAUGAGCAAGUCCCCGAACAAGCACAACCGUCUUUACAUGGAGGCUCGCCCAUUGGAGGAGGGACUGGCUGAGGCCAUUGAUGAUGGCCGCAUUGGCCCACGUGAUGAUCCUAAGGUGCGCUCUAAGAUCCUAUCUGAGGAGUUUGGCUGGGACAAGGAUCUUGCCAAGAAGAUUUGGUGCUUUGGACCUGAGACGACUGGCCCCAACAUGGUUGUCGACAUGUGUAAGGGAGUGCAGUAUCUGAAUGAAAUCAAGGACUCUGUUGUGGCUGGGUUCCAGUGGGCAUCGAAAGAAGGUGCUUUGGCUGAGGAGAACAUGCGUGGCAUCUGCUUUGAGGUCUGUGAUGUUGUUCUGCACACUGAUGCUAUUCACAGGGGUGGUGGCCAGGUCAUCCCAACAGCCAGGAGGGUCAUUUAUGCUUCUCAGCUCACUGCUAAGCCAAGGCUGCUGGAGCCUGUGUACCUGGUUGAGAUCCAGGCCCCGGAGAAUGCACUUGGCGGUAUCUAUGGUGUUCUGAAUCAGAAGAGAGGGCACGUGUUUGAGGAGAUGCAGAGGCCUGGUACCCCGCUGUACAACAUCAAGGCUUACCUCCCGGUCAUCGAGUCGUUCGGGUUCUCAAGUACCCUCAGGGCUGCGACAUCUGGCCAGGCUUUCCCCCAGUGUGUGUUCGAUCACUGGGACAUCAUGUCUUCGGAUCCUUUGGAGGCCGGCUCCCAGUCUGCCACCCUUGUCACGGAGAUCCGCAAGCGCAAGGGUCUGAAGGAACAGAUGACCCCUCUGUCUGAUUUCGAGGACAAGCUCUAA